Molecule: long non-coding RNA, 1149 nt
Filed under: Mustela putorius furo (domestic ferret)
Lineage: Eukaryota; Metazoa; Chordata; Mammalia; Carnivora; Mustelidae
Description: lncRNA (ENSMPUG00000026500.1)
Source: RNAcentral
AGAUCUUUGAUCUCCAGGUCAAAAGUCCAGAGUCUUCCUUUAUAAAAGAGGAAAUAGAGUCAUACUCUAUGCUAAUAUGAAUUAUGCAAAUCUGAAAGAAGACAAUGAGAAAGAAUACAGUUUCACUGAAUGAACAAAACUUGAAAUGAUGUAAAUCCUGCUUUAUUCCUAUGGGGGAAUUAGUCGUGAUUUAUGCGUGUACUAAAUUAUAUGAGGUCUUAGGGAACAUAUCCCUCAUAAAAGCAACCACGCUUUAUUCAUCCAUUCCUUCCUCCCUUCAUUGACAUAUUGUAUCUUAGUGAGUCCAAACUGGCUUCCUUGCCAAGAACUUACGAACCAUAGUCACAAUAAUCCAGCCAAGAAUAUUGCCAUGAGACUAUAGAUCUGUGGUUUGCAGACAGGCUUCUCCUGUUUACAAUCAGGACAUUCCAGUAUAAUGUUUAGUGGUAGUUCUUCAGUCGAUGGGAAGCCUUUUUAGAGAACUGCCAUAUCUUGCAGGUAGUUAGCCUUUAAAUAUAGUCAAAUGCAUUUAAAAUAAUUGGGCUUCCUUUAAAACAACAACAACAAUAACAGCAACAACUCAGACGAUGAGUUUGGGUACUUCUGGCCCUUACUUAUUUUUAAAUACAUGACUCCUUUUCCAGCGUGGCAUAUACAGUGAAGCCUGUCCAAAAACAUGAAAAGAUUAGGAAGAAAUAGAUUCAGAAAGUUUUAAAAUAGAUUUUUCUCCUUCUCACUCACAGUCAACCCACACUUGUUUUUCAGCGACUGCUAUGUGCCAAUCCGGAUAGGUGCCGAGAUGCCGACGAGAAAUGUGAUUCCUACCUUCCGGCGUGCUCACCUCCCCAAAUCUAGCUGUGGCGAUUCAUGGAUGUCUCACUGGCAGCUGGUGGAUCGUUCCCCAAACUUCUCAGUGGUAUCCUGGUGAACCCUUCGAAGGAAAUGCGCUCUCUUAUGCACUCAUCUUGUUUUGAGAAUGGAUGGACGAAACCGUCAAUGCAAGAAAGUCUUCUGCGUUUAUGGCCACCAUUUGGAGAUACUGUUCAUUAAGUUACUCGAGGACCCAGAGCCCGAUAUCUGACGACCCACACAAAAUCCUCUCAAAGCUCAGAGCCAGGAACCGGUGGGUUUCUGCUUAUUCAUUUUCCC